GAAAUCUCUGCUUAUCCUAACAGCCACCCUGUCAAUUAAGUCAAUUAUUAGGACAAAUGUGAUGGACUGGAACAUGUGAUGUACACCUAUGACAUUGAAACUUUUCACUUUAUGGCAUUUCCUUUCCCACAUACUGUCAUUCCAAAAGGCUCCAUCCAACCAGCUGUGACUUCAGGAACCGAAAGAUCAAAAGAGUUUUGGCAAUAAGUCUAAAAGCUCUUUGAUCUGUCAGUCUCCUACCUGCCAUUCACAUUCAUCAUCAUGGCUUUUAGGAAAGUAGAAAGCAUGUAGAGUUGGCCUCCCAUUGAAAGAAAUCCCAAAAAGGAUUUAUAGUGGUUUCCUAUGUUUGAUAAAUGCCACCAUGUCAAACUAAGUCUCCCUUACCAAAGUCAAAGCAAAAGUGAUGGGACAAUGGGUGGAAUGAUGGAUAGAUGGAUGGCUAAACAGACUAAGAAGUAUAGGAUACUUAUGAGGAUGGCUUGUCUAUCAGAAAGAUGAAUGGGUACAUGUCUUUCCUCCCUUCCUUAGCUCUUCCUGGUUGCCCUGGUUUAUCUUGGGCAAUGACAUCAUCAUAUUCUAUGGCAGUUAUGCUCCUUGCCCCUGCCCCACCAACCUAUGGGUUGCCAUAGGAACAGCCAUAAACAUUGUUACGUCAUCACCAUUCCAUUUCCUACUCCUUUCUUCAGUUGGGAGUGGUGGAAGUGCUCUCUCAAGUGACUGGAAAAAAGGCUUUCCUAAUCAAGUUAUUUGCCAUGACUAGUAAGACAUGAAGCCAUUGGGGUAUUCAGAUAUCUCUUUUAUUUAUUUCUCCAAGAGGGUUACAAAGAAGCCAACUGUGAAGCCAUGGAUGCAUAACUGAGAACCUCCUCAAAUCUUUGGCAAGCACCUCUUGAGGCCAGGAUGGAGCACAGCCUGGGAGGUAAUGACUCUCACUGCCAUUCUGCCAGUGCUCCCAUUUCCCCUUCAGCAUUGUUUUCUGAGAACAUCAAGCCCCUCCACACAGGACCCCAAGAAUCUUCUAGAAAACCAGCAGUCUUCGGCUCACACGGGCUUCAUUAUUCUUUUCCAAUGGCUGCCACUAAGGAGAGCCAUCGAGGUGUGUGGGGAAUGUUCACCUGUGGCAGUCCCACCGCGUUAUGCCACAUCUGAGCCAACCUAGGCAGGGAGGCAGUUCUGGGGCAGCUUGAAGGGUGCACUGAGGCUUGCAGAAUGCGACCUGUAUUCAACGGGGAAUAAAACCUAGAAAAAAACCA
RNAcentral lists this long non-coding RNA (1253 nucleotides) under Pogona vitticeps (central bearded dragon). Its description in RNAcentral is "lncRNA (ENSPVIG00000017725.1)". Lineage: Eukaryota; Metazoa; Chordata; Lepidosauria; Squamata; Agamidae. The record is from RNAcentral.